AUCAACCAUAUGUUCCAGCUAGAUGUAAAAUCAAAAUUGGCUAAGACUAUAGGCAAAACAAAGUGUCUGCUACAACAUUUAGCUUAUUGCCUAAAGAAAGCUACUACUGCUAACUAGCUAACAUAACUAAAAACUAACCAGAAUAAGGACUAUACUAACAGUUAUCAAUCCUUCCCAAUUGCUAGAAAGCAAUUACCAUGUGAAACGACGACAUCUGUGUUUUUCUUUUUUUGAUAUACGAAUAUAGUGCAUACUCGUGAUCUUUAACUUGUGACAAUUUAAUUCUUGGGAUAUUUUACAUAAUCUGUGAGUAGUAGGACUGUUCUAAUUUGGAACAUGACUCUGGUUGAAAACUUGGAUGAGCCCAUGUGAAUUAUAUCUCCUCUUCAAUGCACAUAAUUCCUUUCAUUAUCAGUCAGCUGUACUCUAUGAGGUCUAGAAUCAAUGUUGCAUGCACAAUCAAGUGAUAAUGUCUGGUCAUAUUGGCAAUAUCUUGAUUUGGUAAGAUAAUAUCACGGCAAGCACCUGAUUCGCAUUUCCAGUGUUACAAUGAGAUUGAACAAGCAGCCAUGUGAGCAUGGAGCAAAGAGGAACCAUGGUACACCAUAUGCCCUCCUUAUUGGAAAGAGGGCUCCACUGGAAAUUCUGAUGUGUAUGCAGGUAAGAUGGCCUUCUAGGUUUGUAAGUGGUUUGUAAGUUGUGCUUUGAGCAAGAAGAGCAGUGAAGAGCUAUAUGUAGUGUGUAGAAUAGUAGGCGAUGGAUGAUUGGAUUGCAUUGCUGUGUAUGUUGGUCUUAUUGAGCUCAAGAAUGUAUUUUUCUUUUUACGACAUUUUGUAGUCACACCUUAAUGUAUGAAUAUUGCUUUCUAUUUUGUUUCCUUUUACUAAACUCAUUUUAUUUUUGAAUGGUAAUGUAAUUUUGAUAAUCCAUUUAUCAAAUUCAC
This is an RNA transcript of Oryza brachyantha (malo sina), 943 nucleotides long. RefSeq lists it as uncharacterized. The transcript is spliced from 3 exons. Lineage: Eukaryota; Viridiplantae; Streptophyta; Magnoliopsida; Poales; Poaceae. The record is from RefSeq and is a predicted model, not a curated record.